This 1490-nucleotide ribosomal RNA is filed under the name uncultured organism. RNAcentral's name for it is "bacterial SSU rRNA". It matches the Rfam family "Bacterial small subunit ribosomal RNA". The record is from RNAcentral.
UUGAUCCUGGCUCACAACGAACGUUGGCGGCAUGCUUAAUACAUGCAAGUCGUACGAGAAAGCUCCUUCGGGAGUGAUUAGAGUGGCGCACGGGUGAGUAACACGUAGGUGACCUACCCAUUUGCGGGGGAUAACUUCGGGAAACUGAAGCUAAUACCGCAUAAGUUUUAUAGUUUGAACUACUAUAUCAGAAAGUCGGCCUCUGAUUUAAGCCGGCGCAGAUGGAUGGGCCUGCGGACCAUUAGUUUGUUGGUGGGGUAACGGCCUACCAAGGCGAUGAUGGUUAGCCGGUCUGAGAGGAUGAUCGGCCACACUGGAACUGAGACACGGUCCAGACUCCUACGGGAGGCAGCAGUAGGGAAUAUUGCGCAAUGGGCGAAAGCCUGACGCAGCAAUGCCGCGUGAGGGAGGACGGUUUUCGGACUGUAAACCUCUGUCAAAAGGGACAAAUUGUUUAUAUGUAAAUAGCAUAUAGAUUUGAUGGUACCUUUAGAGGAAGCACCGGCUAACUCCGUGCCAGCAGCCGCGGUAAUACGGAGGGUGCAAACGUUGUUCGGAUUUAUUGGGCGUAAAGCGCGCGCAGGCGGGAAAGCAAGUCAGGUGUGAAAUCUCGGGGCCUAACUCCGAAACUGCGCCUGAAACUGUUUACCUAGAAUCCCGGAGGGGGAUGGGGAAUUUCUCAUGUAGGGGUAAAAUCCGUAGAGAUGAGAAGGAACACCAGAGGAGUAAUCGCCAUCCUGGACGGGAAUUGACGCUGAGGCGCGAAGGCGUGGGUAGCAAACAGGAUUAGAUACCCUGGUAGUCCACGCGGUAAACGAUGAGCACUUGUUAUCGCGGGUAUUGACCCCUGCGGUGACGUAGCUAACGCGUUAAGUGCUCCGCCUGGGGAGUACGGUCGCAAGACUAAAACUCAAAGGAAUUGACGGGGGCCCGCACAAGCGGUGGAUCAUGUGGUUCAAUUCGAAGCAACGCGAAAAACCUUACCUGGACUUGACAUCCUGCGAACUUUCUAGAGAUAGAUUGGUGCCCUUCGGGGAACGCAGAGACAGGUGCUGCAUGGCUGUCGUCAGCUCGUGUUGUGAAAUGUUGGGUUAAGUCCCGCAACGAGCGCAACCCCUAUUCUUAGUUGCCAGCAUUUAGUUGGGCACUCUAAGGAGACGGCCCGGGUUAACCGGGAGGAAGGUGGGGAUGACGUCAAGUCCUCAUGGCCCUUAUGUCCAGGGCUACACACGUGAUACAAUGGCGCGUACAAAGGGAUGCCAACCUGCGAAGGGGAGCAAAUCUCAAAAAACGCGUCCCAGUUCGGAUUGGAGUCUGCAACUCGACUCCAUGAAGUUGGAAUCGCUAGUAAUCGCGGAUCAGCAUGCCGCGGUGAAUACGUUCCCGGGCAUUGUACACACCGCCCGUCACACCAUGGGAGUUGGUUCCAUCUUAAGCCGUGGCCCCAACAUUCGGGAGGGGAGCGUCCACGGUGGGACUAAUGACUGGGG